ACGGGUGAGGAACGCGUAGGAAUCUGCCUUACAGAGGGGGACAACUAGAGGAAACUCUAGCUAAUACCGCAUAAAGUCUGCGGACCAAAGGCUGGGUAGCAAUACCUGGCGCUGUAAGAGGAGCCUGCGUCCGAUUAGCUAGUUGGUAGGGUAAAGGCCUACCAAGGCGAUGAUCGGUAGCUGGUCUGAGAGGAUGAUCAGCCACACUGGGACUGAGACACGGCCCAGACUCCUACGGGAGGCAGCAGUGGGGAAUAUUGGACAAUGGGGGCAACCCUGAUCCAGCAAUACCGCGUGUGUGAAGAAGGCCUUCGGGUUGUAAAGCACUUUAGGUUGGGAAGAAGGUGUGUAGUUUAAGAGAUGACACAUUUGACUGUACCGACAGAAUAAGCACCGGCUAACUCUGUGCCAGCAGCCGCGGUAAUACAGAGGGUGCAAGCGUUAAUCGGAGUUACUGGGCGUAAAGGGCGCGUAGGCGGUUUAGUAAGUGAGAUGUGAAAGCCCUGGGCUUAACCUAGGAACUGCAUCUUAUACUGUUAGACUAGAGUACUGUAGAGGGUAGUGGAAUUUCCGGUGU
RNAcentral lists this ribosomal RNA (577 nucleotides) under uncultured Gammaproteobacteria bacterium. RNAcentral's name for it is "bacterial SSU rRNA". It matches the Rfam family "Bacterial small subunit ribosomal RNA", at positions 102 to 676 of the family's 1533-position model. The record is from RNAcentral. Lineage: Bacteria; Pseudomonadati; Pseudomonadota; Gammaproteobacteria.